CAUAUGCCUAUCAAAAACUAUUUUUGGUUGCUUCAAGAGAUCAUUCUCAUUUGCUUGUUUUCCCAAAAAAAAAUAAAAAGAAUAAAAUUGCUGAAGUAUAUAAGGGUUUGAAUAGAUCAACAAUUAUGAGAGGAUCACAAAGCAAUUGAAAGUGCUAAAUAGCACAUUCAAAGAUUAUAGGCUGAUAACUGCAGAAGGUGGAAGGCAUAUUAUCAAGUGCAAGAAGAUUUUUAGCGAAGAGCUCGUAACUAUCAUGAUUUUAACCAUUCCAGAAAACCAGAAAAACAAUGGAUUUCCACAGAGUAUCUUAAAUCGCGUCUCUAUGCUCAAAAACUUGAACCUCCCCAAUAUUGUCGGAUUGCAGGCAGUGAUGGAAACUGAGGAUGCGGUGUUUCUCGUUUAUGAGCAUUUUCACACUAGUCUUCGAAAACACCUCGCCAAUCCGGAGUUUUUAAACAUUCCAAACUGGAAAAAAAUUUUUCUGCGUCAAGCUCUCUCUGGAUUGGCAUUCUGCCAUAUUCGCAAAAUUCUACCCAGAGAUCUGAAACCUCAUAAUAUUCUGGCUUCAGUUGAAAAUUUGGAUGUCAAGAAAGUGAAGCCAUCUGACUUUAGUGCGGCAAAAACUACUGAACCUCCUCUUUCACCCUACUCUAUUAAUGCAUGACACUUUAAAUCUUUUUUGAAUUUGAGCUAUAUGGUGUAGUUUAUUUAAUGAAUAAAUGUUACUCCCCAAAAAUUUGAAGUUAUUAAUGCUUUUGCAAAUUUAUUUUCAAUUUUCAGAUGGGUAAUCCUUGCUAUAAAGCACCUGAACUUUUGAUGGGUUCUACCAAUUACUCAACUGCAAUUGAUAUCUGGUCUAUGGAAUGCAUAUUUGCUGAGAUGCUUAGGCUCGAACUUCUGUUCAUUGCUUGCUUGGUACGCCAACUGAAGAAACCUGGCCUGGUGUGUCUUCUAUAUGCAACUAUAUUGAAGCAUUCAACCCUCCAAUUGUGCCAAAGGACCUAGCAGCAGAAUUCCCUGAGCUCGAACCAGAUGGUCUUGAUCUUCUUUCGAAAAUGCUUCGCCUGUGCCCAAAUAGCAGAAUUUCAGCUGAUCAAGCUCUUGAGCAUCCAUAUCUUCGAAUUUUAACCACCCACGAUGAUUGAUGAAGCUCCUGUAUUCACCACUUAAGAUUUCUUUUUUCAUCUAAAUAAACAAUCUUAUAGAAUAUUAGGUAUCCUAUUGGAUCUAUCCUGUGUAAUAAAUUUUUCUCCUGUGAAUCAGUAUGUGAGGAUUCCUUGUGUUGUUUUCUA
This is a long non-coding RNA of Medicago truncatula (barrel medic), 1292 nucleotides long. RefSeq lists it as uncharacterized. NCBI's taxonomy places the organism in Eukaryota, Viridiplantae, Streptophyta, Magnoliopsida, Fabales, Fabaceae. The record is from RefSeq and is a predicted model, not a curated record. The transcript is spliced from 6 exons.